This 497-nucleotide ribosomal RNA is filed under the name uncultured bacterium. RNAcentral describes it as "partial 16S ribosomal RNA". It matches the Rfam family "Bacterial small subunit ribosomal RNA", at positions 28 to 507 of the family's 1533-position model. The record is from RNAcentral.
GAUGAACGCUGGCGGCGUGCCUAAUACAUGCAAGUCGAGCGAACAGAUAAGGAGCUUGCUCCUUUGACGUUAGCGGCGGACGGGUGAGUAACACGUGGGUAACCUACCUAUAAGACUGGAAUAACUCCGGGAAACCGGGGCUAAUGCCGGAUAACAUUUAGAACCGCAUGGUUCUAAAGUGAAAGAUGGUUUUGCUAUCACUUAUAGAUGGACCCGCGCCGUAUUAGCUAGUUGGUAAGGUAACGGCUUACCAAGGCAACGAUACGUAGCCGACCUGAGAGGGUGAUCGGCCACACUGGAACUGAGACACGGUCCAGACUCCUACGGGAGGCAGCAGUAGGGAAUCUUCCGCAAUGGGCGAAAGCCUGACGGAGCAACGCCGCGUGAGUUAUGAAGGUCUUCGGAUCGUAAAACUCUGUUAUUAGGGAAGAACAAAUGUGUAAGUAACUGUGCACGUCUUGACGGUACCUAAUCAGAAAGCCACGGCUAACUACGUG